GUCAGGAUGGCCGAGUGGUCUAAGGCGCCAGACUCAAGUUCUGGUCCUCAAUGAGGGCGUGGGUUCGAAUCCCACUUCUGACA
RNAcentral lists this transfer RNA (83 nucleotides) under Copidosoma floridanum. RNAcentral's name for it is "tRNA-Leu". It matches the Rfam family "tRNA". Rfam says of the family: Transfer RNA (tRNA) molecules are approximately 80 nucleotides in length. Their secondary structure includes four short double-helical elements and three loops (D, anti-codon, and T loops). Further hydrogen bonds mediate the characteristic L-shaped molecular structure. tRNAs have two regions of fundamental functional importance: the anti-codon, which is responsible for specific mRNA codon recognition, and the 3' end, to which the tRNAs corresponding amino acid is attached (by aminoacyl-tRNA synthetases). tRNAs cope with the degeneracy of the genetic code in two manners: having more than one tRNA (with a specific anti-codon) for a particular amino acid; and 'wobble' base-pairing, i.e. permitting non-standard base-pairing at the 3rd anti-codon position. The record is from RNAcentral. Lineage: Eukaryota; Metazoa; Arthropoda; Insecta; Hymenoptera; Encyrtidae.